Pecten maximus is the source of this 1107-nucleotide long non-coding RNA. RefSeq lists it as uncharacterized. NCBI's taxonomy places the organism in Eukaryota, Metazoa, Mollusca, Bivalvia, Pectinida, Pectinidae. The record is from RefSeq and is a predicted model, not a curated record. The transcript is spliced from 3 exons.
GAUUUAAAUCAGAUGGUGAUGUCCCAACGGUUACAAAUGUACUUGCUCAGCAAAGGGGAAUGUCGUUGAGAUACAACACAUACUGUUGGAAAUCCAUUGUGAAUGAUUGGCGUGGAAUGCUAUCGGAUAGUGGAUCACAUGUGCACCAAUAAGCUGUUCACGGUCAAUUACAGAUGAAUACGGAAGGAAAGGAAGCAAAGGAAGGAUAGAGAACAAUAUAUUUAAACAUAGCUAACAAAAAAGGAUUUGUUUUCGCAAGAGAAGUAGGGAACGAAGAUAUCCAAAAUAUAUACAUUGUAUAAAAAAAAAGUGGAGGAAAGAAAAAGGACGUUCAGUGGGCCACCUGAUAUGAGAUUGAAUCCUUAUACUUAAUUCGCUUUAUAAGGGGACUUUAAACAUGAACCAUAUGUUACGGCAAAAGACUUUCCCUACAACCGGCAUGCAUGAAGAUGGGAUUUCGGUGUAAUUCCGAGGACAGGGACAAUUCUAAUAUAUAGUUUUGAAUGACUUGUGGUAUAGGUUUAUUUUUGUUUAACGGCCUAUUAACAGCUAGUCAUUGUUGUACUUCACUCGGUUUGCAGUUUAAAAGUGGAAAUGACAUGAACUUCAGGAUUCCUUAAAAUGUGUUUGAAAACUGAUAUAACGAAAGAAGUUGAAAGAAAACUUGAUAUGUAACUUUAAAAUGUUCAGGCGAUGUCUGUUGUCCUGAUAGUCGGUGUGAUGGGUGUUUAAUGGAAUACGAAAGACAAGUGUGAUGGAAAAAAACAAUUGACUGAAUGUUAAAAUGGAAGAUUUAUUUAAAAGUUUAGGAUUGAAGAAAUAGUCUUUAUACAUCAAUGAUAUAUUUUUUUUCUACAGUUUUCAAUGGUGUGUCAUUGCACUGUUGUGCUUUUAGAUGCAACGGUAAUGUCUAACCCUAGAUGUGGAUAAAUUCUGUUUUUUAUUUAUAUAAAAAGCAGUUUCUUAGUUCUUAUCAACAGUAUUUUGAUCAAGAAUAAAAAAGUAAAGUAAACGAGUCAUAUAUUUGUUAGUUUCUGCAAAACAAUUUGUGUUAAUGAAAGAAAGAUUAACUUUUAAUCCAUAAUAAAUGCAAUUCUCACAAAGAAA